CCUACGGGUGGCUGCAGUGAGGAAUUUUCCGCAAUGGGCGCAAGCCUGACGGAGUAAUACCGCGUGAGGGAAGACGGUCUUUGGAUUGUAAACCUCUUUUAUUGGGGAAGAAAUUUUGACGGUACCCAAUGAAUCAGCCUCGGCUAACUCCGUGCCAGCAGCCGCGGUAAUACGGAGGAGGCAAGCGUUAUCCGGAAUUAUUGGGCGUAAAGCGUCCGCAGGUGGUUGAGUGUGUCUGUUGUUAAAGCCCAGGGCUUAACCCUGGUUCAGCGGUG
RNAcentral lists this ribosomal RNA (275 nucleotides) under uncultured bacterium. Its description in RNAcentral is "partial 16S ribosomal RNA". It matches the Rfam family "Bacterial small subunit ribosomal RNA", at positions 338 to 628 of the family's 1533-position model. The record is from RNAcentral.